CAGACCGCCAGCUAAGGUCCCAAAGUCAUGGUUAAGUGGGAAACGAUGUGGGAAGGCCCAGACAGCCAGGAUGUUGGCUUAGAAGCAGCCAUCAUUUAAAGAAAGCGUAAUAGCUCACUGGUCGAGUCGGCCUGCGCGGAAGAUGUAACGGGGCUAAACCAUGCACCGAAGCUGCGGCAGCGACGCUUAUGCGUUGUUGGGUAGGGGAGCGUUCUGUAAGCCUGUGAAGGUGUGCUGUGAGGCAUGCUGGAGGUAUCAGAAGUGCGAAUGCUGACAUAAGUAACGAUAAAGCGGGUGAAAAGCCCGCUCGCCGGAAGACCAAGGGUUCCUGUCCAACGUUAAUCGGGGCAGGGUGAGUCGACCCCUAAGGCGAGGCCGAAAGGCGUAGUCGAUGGGAAACAGGUUAAUAUUCCUGUACUUGGUGUUACUGCGAAGGGGGGACGGAGAAGGCUAUGUUGGCCGGGCGACGGUUGUCCCGGUUUAAGCGUGUAGGCUGGUUUUCCAGGCAAAUCCGGAAAAUCAAGGCUGAGGCGUGAUGACGAGGCACUACGGUGCUGAAGCAACAAAUGCCCUGCUUCCAGGAAAAGCCUCUAAGCAUCAGGUAACAUCAAAUCGUACCCCAAACCGACACAGGUGGU
Molecule: ribosomal RNA, 638 nt
Filed under: Escherichia coli
Lineage: Bacteria; Pseudomonadati; Pseudomonadota; Gammaproteobacteria; Enterobacterales; Enterobacteriaceae
Description: partial 23S ribosomal RNA
Rfam family: Bacterial large subunit ribosomal RNA
Source: RNAcentral